GCCGUGACUUAACAGUUUAAUGUAAAUCCAAGACAAAGUGUGAAUACAUUUCUGCACAUAUACAAUAUGCAUAUGUGAGCAUACAAAUUCUCAUUAAUAACUCGAUUCACCUCGGAGACCGAAAAAAUGAUCAAAAGUAACAGUGAAUAACAAGCUAUAACAUAGUUCACCACAACGCGAGCCCCUUCUCACCCUACAGUUAGUAAAGAGGACAAUUCAAAUAACUAUAUUCUUCUAUUUGACGAAGCUAUUUGCUUGUUAAAAUCCUCCUGUAAAAUUUACAAUGCUAUAAUUAGUUUAUUCAAAGCCUAAUAUAAAUUCACUCCAUUUUUCUACAACGAAAAUGAUUAAGAGAAGCACACAACAUCAUAAUGGUAACACAAGCGCUUAGUAGCUCAACUUCUUAGGAGGUUUAAUUAAUCCUUCUUCUUACUGUCAUUAUAUUUAUUUAAACAUUCUAUAAAGCCAAUAAAAUAUCCAUUCUCGUAACAUACUUAAUAAUAUUAGGGUAAGGAACAGGGUAUACAUUGAACGCUACAGAUCAGAAGAUUGAAAAAAUGAGACAUCACACCCCAAAAAACAAAAGUAAAUAAGAAGAGACAAUUAACAGAUAAGUAUAGUAGGAAAUACUGCAGCACACAUUAGCUGUAUCGACAAAGAAUGAGAUUUUACACCGAUGAGAAACCAUACAGCAAGAAACAGAAAAGGGGGUCAGGGUUUGAUGCACUCUUAGGUCUUUAGAAAAUGCAAAAUAAACAGAUAACUCACUUGCAUGAGUAUUGAUGUGAUUAAAUGGAGCAAUGCAAGUUUGAGAAUGUACCAAAAAAAUCACUUUGACUUUAACGUGACGUCUAGCUUUAGAUGAAUAUUUUUGUAAUGUAAAAAAAGGCCAAUUUGGCUUUGAAUGUAGCUUUGGUCUACCACUUCUAGAUUCCGUUCGUUGACACCACAAAAACACAACUAGCUUUGGCUAGAAAUCUUCCAGAAAGUAAAAUGGGGAAAAAAAGCUACAUUUUUCAUUUAUGUAAAGUUGGACCAAAGAUCUGACAACAAAGUGGUACAUAUGGAUCCACAUCCAUGCCUGCUUUUACAUAAAUUAGAAUAAAUUAAGAUAACAGGAAAACAAUCGUAUUUCAAUCAGUUUUGGUUCUUAAUUUCAUUCAUUCACCCGACACCCUCUAUCAGCGAUGGCAUCAAACCGUGACCACCUCACCCUGAAUACCCCAAAGGAACAGCCAGCAAAAGGAGCAGAUCUCCCCAAUGAAAAGGUAAAAAAAAAAGAACACAGACUCUCAUCUGAAAGGGCUUUAAGAACGCUCGCGUGGCUGGAUUAUGAGUCACCUGGUGACAGAGAGGUCAGCCCAUGAUUAACCCACCUGACGCCUCUUCCUGCACUUAAAGCGCCUACGAGUUUGCCAAAUGGUUUACGUUUGCGCUGAAGCUUGUGUGGAUGUUGCGGGUGGUCUGCUCUCUCUCUCUCUCUCUCUCUCUCUCUCUCUCUCUUUCUCUCUCUCUCUCUCCAGGAGUUUAUCCGACUAAGACUAAUGCAGCGCCGUCGACGCGCUCGUCUCAGGAAUGUUUCCCGGUGUCCCCAAAGCUCCGAAGGGGCGAAUCACCAUGAGCAAAGUUGGAAGUUUGAGUAUAGAUUUAAAGGAAAGUGCCAGGCUUCACGGGGAGAGUGAGGUCGGCGGACUGGUCGGCCAUUUGGAAGACGGUGGCUAUAGCUGGGAAGGCCGCGCUCACCUCGACAACACAAAGCGUUUUUACACUCUACUUAAGCACAUUUUGGUAAUUGUAAGGUCACUCGAUCUACGUCACAUUUCUGAUUCCCCCUUUUUUUUUAUAGGAGACAAAACGUUGGUUAUGUGAAACAUAAUAAUAGACAAAGGUAACAUUAACACAUUAAGUCAUUUCCAACAGCUUUGAGUAUACGGGGCCUCUAUUAAUUUAGUUUGAGAAAAUAGCAAUUAUUUGACACCCCCUAAUCGUGAGGAUGGUCAUAGUGUUAAUGACUUACUCUUACAUAGGAUUUUGCUGGAGAUCAGAUCUAUAAUUAUUGCGUCAUGCAUGGCCACUUACGGUGUAAAAAUGAAAUGAAUGGUCACCCACGGAGAAAGAUCUAAAGCCAUUUCAGAUGUCGCAGGUCACGCAUUACAUUCAUUUCGUGCGGGUGGCCGUGGUUUUAAAGGUAUAGUCGGUGCAUUUUUGAUUAAUUCAUUUUGACAGGUCAUUUCACUUCAUGGCACGCUAAUGUAAAACAACAUUUUUAGUUUACAAAGUCAUUUUCACACAACACCGAUAAAGCAACGACAUCAUCAACAACAACAACAAAAUAAAAUCAAAAAUAAAAUAACAACAACUGGCUUAUCAAUUUAGAGAGAAGUUUGAUAGUUAUUGAUCAUUCAAUCUAAACACCUGUGAGGAGUAACGACAGUGAAAGUCAAAUCCGUUACUCUGCUGUGUUCCAUAAAUACGUCGAAUCGCCUUCGUGAAACAUGCAUUUGCUUCUGGGGGGGUAAAACAACGCGUCCUCAAAGUUACUCGUAAAGCGUUUAAAGAUGAGACCAGGAGUUAUUUGCCCCUCUGCUGCCCUUGCAAAAGCUCCGGUGGUUUGCUCGCACUUUCCUGUGCUGUGCUGUACAUGAUUGGUCUGUUGAAUUCUUUGGUGGGAGAAGCGAGAGAAAAAAAGAAAAGAUCUAAUGUGACGACGCUGUCCGACAGCGACGCCAGAUUCCCUUAAACAGUGGAAUGUUUCAGUAGUCUGUCUCAUUACAGAGGAGCCAACAGAUUUCAAUGGAUAAUCAUCUCCCUUAUAUGUGUGUGUGUGUGUGUGUGUGUGUGCCCCAAUGACCUACAGAAAAUUAAAUAAAAAAAGAAGACAACAAAACAGAGAAGAUUGAUGUAACCAGCAGGUUACUAAGCAAUCACAUCUUCUACCUCGGGUCUGCGUGCUGGAGGCGGGGUGUGUGGGGGGGGUACCGGGAUGACAAACCACUCUGGGGGGUCCCGUGAAGUGACCCCUCAAACCAAAGCAUGUGUCUAUAGGGGCCCGAUCGGGUCGUCAUCAAGACCAGCCGUGUUGCAACACUUUACACGGGUGCGCCCACCUCCACGGAACACUAAACAUCACUGUACAUCAACCUCCAGGCUACAAAGCAGAGCCCGACAUAUCAUAAAAAAAGACACAUCCACAAGAAUUAUUGCAACAAUCUCUAAAAGAUAAACACAAUAGGUACUACAGCCAUUUCAAAAAGUUCAAGGUAAUGUUAAGUUAAAAAAUCACUUCAAAUGCAAAUACUAUGGCAAACCAUAAAAGGGGGAGGGGAAGGCUUUCACUACGACACCAGCAGUACUGCUGAGUGUUCAAGAGCACAAAUGAACGGAGGAGAUUAUUUGUAUCAUUGGCUACAAGAAAAACAACAACAACAAAAAAGAUGUCUGUUGAGUCAAGCAGCAAACGCGCAAAGUGACACCGCUAUUGGUCGGUGUCUAAGUGUUCGGGGUGUCCUGUUCGGCUGGCGCGGCCAUGUCCGUGGCGCUCCUGGCUCAAAGACAAAUGGACAGUGGCGAGGAAUCGUCCUCGAGGCGCCCCCUUCCAGGUGCACGCUGGGGGAUUCCCCCUUCCGCUCACCCAAAACCUCCAGCGUAAAACGAAUGACACUACGUCAAAACCAAAAAGGAUUCAUGUCAGAAUUAUAAGUGUGCGUUCAGGUGAGGUGAAGCCCCCCCCCCCUCCGGCUGCCACCAUCCCACCGGGCUCAGCGUCACUAUCAACCUGCUCAGUGCCAACUUGCUACCAUUUUAGUCCCAUUCAAGAUUAGGUUUCCCUCUGCCCCCUCCAAACGCGGACCCCUGCGCCCCCC
Molecule: long non-coding RNA, 3863 nt
Organism: Gasterosteus aculeatus aculeatus (three-spined stickleback)
Lineage: Eukaryota; Metazoa; Chordata; Actinopteri; Perciformes; Gasterosteidae
Source: Ensembl